This 253-nucleotide ribosomal RNA is filed under the name uncultured bacterium. RNAcentral's name for it is "partial 16S ribosomal RNA". It matches the Rfam family "Bacterial small subunit ribosomal RNA", at positions 524 to 776 of the family's 1533-position model. The record is from RNAcentral.
UACGUAGGGUGCGAGCGUUGUCCGGAAUUACUGGGCGUAAAGGGCUCGUAGGUGGCCAACUAAGUCAGACGUGAAAUCCCUCGGCUUAACCGGGGAACUGCGUCUGAUACUGGAUGGCUUGAGUUCGGGAGAGGGAUGCGGAAUUCCAGGUGUAGCGGUGAAAUGCGUAGAUAUCUGGAGGAACACCGGUGGCGAAGGCGGCAUCCUGGACCGACACUGACACUGAGGAGCGAAAGCCAGGGGAGCAACCGGG